AGCAGCCGCGGUAAUUCCAGCUCCAAUAGCGUAUAUUAAAGUUGCUGCAGUUAAAAAGCUCGUAGUUGAAUUUCGGGACCGAUAUAUCGGUCGUGCCUCGGUACGUACUGGUAUUUUCGGUUUCUUCCUUCUGAUGAACCUUGAUGUCAUUAAUUUGGUGUCUUGGGGAAUCAGGACUGUUACUUUGAAAAAAUUAGAGUGUUUAAAGCAGGCUCACGCUUGAAUACAUUAGCAUGGAAUAAUGAAAUAGGACGUUUGAUUCUAUUUUGUUGGUUUCUAGGAUCGACGUAAUGAUUAAUAGGGAUAGUUGGGGGCAUUAGUAUUCAAUUGUCAGAGGUGAAAUUUUUGGAUUUAUUGAAGACUAACUACUGCGAAAGCAUUUGCCAAGGAUGUUUUCAUUAAUCAAGAACGAAAGUUAGGGGAUCGAAGGCGAUCAGAUACCGUCGUAGUCUUAACCAUAAACUAUGCCGACUAGGGAUCGGAUGAUGUUAAUUUUUAAUGACUCAUUCGGCGCCUUACG
RNAcentral lists this ribosomal RNA (520 nucleotides) under uncultured Glomus. RNAcentral's name for it is "SSU rRNA". It matches the Rfam family "Eukaryotic small subunit ribosomal RNA", at positions 569 to 1092 of the family's 1831-position model. The record is from RNAcentral. Lineage: Eukaryota; Fungi; Glomeromycota; Glomeromycetes; Glomerales; Glomeraceae.